Molecule: ribosomal RNA, 636 nt
Filed under: uncultured Lachnospiraceae bacterium
Lineage: Bacteria; Bacillati; Bacillota; Clostridia; Lachnospirales; Lachnospiraceae
Description: bacterial SSU rRNA
Rfam family: Bacterial small subunit ribosomal RNA
Source: RNAcentral
GAUUCUUCGGAUGAUUUUCAGUUGACUGAGCGGCGGACGGGUGAGUAACGCGUGGGUGACCUGCCCCAUGCCGGGGGAUAACAGCUGGAAACGGCUGCUAAUACCGCAUAAGCGCACAGAGCUGCAUGGCUCAGUGUGAAAAACUCCGGUGGUAUGGGAUGGGCCCGCGUCUGAUUAGGCAGUUGGCGGGGUAACGGCCCACCAAACCGACGAUCAGUAGCCGGCCUGAGAGGGCGACCGGCCACAUUGGGACUGAGACACGGCCCAAACUCCUACGGGAGGCAGCAGUGGGGAAUAUUGCACAAUGGGGGAAACCCUGAUGCAGCGACGCCGCGUGAGCGAAGAAGUAUUUCGGUAUGUAAAGCUCUAUCAGCAGGGAAGAUAAUGACGGUACCUGACUAAGAAGCCCCGGCUAACUACGUGCCAGCAGCCGCGGUAAUACGUAGGGGGCAAGCGUUAUCCGGAUUUACUGGGUGUAAAGGGAGCGUAGACGGCAAGGCAAGUCUGAUGUGAAAACCCAGGGCUUAACCCUGGGACUGCAUUGGAAACUGUCUGGCUCGAGUGCCGGAGAGGUAAGCGGAAUUCCUAGUGUAGCGGUGAAAUGCGUAGAUAUUAGGAAGAACACCAGUGGCGAAG